CUACUUACCUGGACAGGGUCAAUGGGUGAUCAAGAAGGUUCAUGGCCUAAGAUAGUGACUUUCAUUGCACUUUGAACGGGUGCUGUCUUAAGGUCUGUUCAUGUGACAGAGCCUAUGUCAUAAUUUGUGUUAGAAGGGCCUGCGUUCGCGCAUUCCUUGC
Glycine soja is the source of this 160-nucleotide non-coding RNA. The record is from Rfam. NCBI's taxonomy places the organism in Eukaryota, Viridiplantae, Streptophyta, Magnoliopsida, Fabales, Fabaceae.